CUGCUGCUAAUACCCCAUAUGCCGAAAGGUGAAAAGAAAUUUGCCUUGAGAGGGGCUCGCGUCCGAUUAGCUAGUUGGUGAGGUAAGAGCUUACCAAGGCGACGAUCGGUAGCUGGUCUGAGAGGAUGAGCAGCCACACUGGGACUGAGACACGGCCCAGACUCCUACGGGAGGCAGCAGUGGGGAAUUUUCCGCAAUGGGCGAAAGCCUGACGGAGCAACGCCGCGUGGGGGAAGAAGGCCUUUGGGUUGUAAACUCCUUUUCUCAGGGAAGAAGAACUGACGGUACCUGAGGAAUCAGCCUCGGCUAACUCCGUGCCAGCAGCCGCGGUAAUACGGAGGAGGCAAGCGUUAUCCGGAAUUAUUGGGCGUAAAGCGUUCGUAGGCGGCGUUUCAAGUCUGCUGUCAAAGGCCGAGGCUCAACUUCGGAAAGGCAGUGGAAACUGAAAAGCUAGAGGUCGGUAGGGGCAGAGGGAAUUCCCAGUGUAGCGGUGAAAUGCGUAGAUAUUGGGAAGAACACCGGUGGCGAAAGCGCUCUGCUGGGCCGAACCUGACGCUGAGGGACGAAAGCUAGGGGAGCGAAUGGGAUUAG
RNAcentral lists this ribosomal RNA (591 nucleotides) under Geitlerinema sp. CNP 1019. RNAcentral describes it as "bacterial SSU rRNA". It matches the Rfam family "Bacterial small subunit ribosomal RNA", at positions 157 to 781 of the family's 1533-position model. The record is from RNAcentral. Lineage: Bacteria; Bacillati; Cyanobacteriota; Cyanophyceae; Geitlerinematales; Geitlerinemataceae.